This 1136-nucleotide ribosomal RNA is filed under the name Staphylococcus aureus. RNAcentral's name for it is "partial 23S ribosomal RNA". It matches the Rfam family "Bacterial large subunit ribosomal RNA", at positions 1058 to 2195 of the family's 2925-position model. Lineage: Bacteria; Bacillati; Bacillota; Bacilli; Caryophanales; Staphylococcaceae. The record is from RNAcentral.
GUUAAGUGGAAAAGGAUGUGGCGUUGCCCAGACAACUAGGAUGUUGGCUUAGAAGCAGCCAUCAUUUAAAGAGUGCGUAAUAGCUCACUAGUCGAGUGACACUGCGCCGAAAAUGUACCGGGGCUAAACAUAUUACCGAAGCUGUGGAUUGUCCUUUGGACAAUGGUAGGAGAGCGUUCUAAGGGCGUUGAAGCAUGAUCGUAAGGACAUGUGGAGCGCUUAGAAGUGAGAAUGCCGGUGUGAGUAGCGAAAGACGGGUGAGAAUCCCGUCCACCGAUUGACUAAGGUUUCCAGAGGAAGGCUCGUCCGCUCUGGGUUAGUCGGGUCCUAAGCUGAGGCCGACAGGCGUAGGCGAUGGAUAACAGGUUGAUAUUCCUGUACCACCUAUAAUCGUUUUAAUCGAUGGGGGGACGCAGUAGGAUAGGCGAAGCGUGCGAUUGGAUUGCACGUCUAAGCAGUAAGGCUGAGUAUUAGGCAAAUCCGGUACUCGUUAAGGCUGAGCUGUGAUGGGGAGAAGACAUUGUGUCUUCGAGUCGUUGAUUUCACACUGCCGAGAAAAGCCUCUAGAUAGAAAAUAGGUGCCCGUACCGCAAACCGACACAGGUAGUCAAGAUGAGAAUUCUAAGGUGAGCGAGCGAACUCUCGUUAAGGAACUCGGCAAAAUGACCCCGUAACUUCGGGAGAAGGGGUGCUCUUUAGGGUUAACGCCCAGAAGAGCCGCAGUGAAUAGGCCCAAGCGACUGUUUAUCAAAAACACAGGUCUCUGCUAAACCGUAAGGUGAUGUAUAGGGGCUGACGCCUGCCCGGUGCUGGAAGGUUAAGAGGAGUGGUUAGCUUCUGCGAAGCUACGAAUCGAAGCCCCAGUAAACGGCGGCCGUAACUAUAACGGUCCUAAGGUAGCGAAAUUCCUUGUCGGGUAAGUUCCGACCCGCACGAAAGGCGUAACGAUUUGGGCACUGUCUCAACGAGAGACUCGGUGAAAUCAUAGUACCUGUGAAGAUGCAGGUUACCCGCGACAGGACGGAAAGACCCCGUGGAGCUUUACUGUAGCCUGAUAUUGAAAUUCGGCACAGCUUGUACAGGAUAGGUAGGAGCCUUUGAAACGUGAGCGCUAGCUUACGUGGAGGCGCUGGUGG